This 1485-nucleotide ribosomal RNA is filed under the name Salmonella enterica. RNAcentral's name for it is "bacterial SSU rRNA". It matches the Rfam family "Bacterial small subunit ribosomal RNA". Lineage: Bacteria; Pseudomonadati; Pseudomonadota; Gammaproteobacteria; Enterobacterales; Enterobacteriaceae. RNAcentral also lists the same sequence under 1 other name. The record is from RNAcentral.
CCUAACACAUGCAAGUCGAACGGUAACAGGAAGCAGCUUGCUGCUUUGCUGACGAGUGGCGGACGGGUGAGUAAUGUCUGGGAAACUGCCUGAUGGAGGGGGAUAACUACUGGAAACGGUGGCUAAUACCGCAUAACGUCGCAAGACCAAAGAGGGGGACCUUCGGGCCUCUUGCCAUCAGAUGUGCCCAGAUGGGAUUAGCUUGUUGGUGAGGUAACGGCUCACCAAGGCGACGAUCCCUAGCUGGUCUGAGAGGAUGACCAGCCACACUGGAACUGAGACACGGUCCAGACUCCUACGGGAGGCAGCAGUGGGGAAUAUUGCACAAUGGGCGCAAGCCUGAUGCAGCCAUGCCGCGUGUAUGAAGAAGGCCUUCGGGUUGUAAAGUACUUUCAGCGGGGAGGAAGGUGUUGUGGUUAAUAACCGCAGCAAUUGACGUUACCCGCAGAAGAAGCACCGGCUAACUCCGUGCCAGCAGCCGCGGUAAUACGGAGGGUGCAAGCGUUAAUCGGAAUUACUGGGCGUAAAGCGCACGCAGGCGGUCUGUCAAGUCGGAUGUGAAAUCCCCGGGCUCAACCUGGGAACUGCAUUCGAAACUGGCAGGCUUGAGUCUUGUAGAGGGGGGUAGAAUUCCAGGUGUAGCGGUGAAAUGCGUAGAGAUCUGGAGGAAUACCGGUGGCGAAGGCGGCCCCCUGGACAAAGACUGACGCUCAGGUGCGAAAGCGUGGGGAGCAAACAGGAUUAGAUACCCUGGUAGUCCACGCCGUAAACGAUGUCUACUUGGAGGUUGUGCCCUUGAGGCGUGGCUUCCGGAGCUAACGCGUUAAGUAGACCGCCUGGGGAGUACGGCCGCAAGGUUAAAACUCAAAUGAAUUGACGGGGGCCCGCACAAGCGGUGGAGCAUGUGGUUUAAUUCGAUGCAACGCGAAGAACCUUACCUGGUCUUGACAUCCACAGAAGAAUCCAGAGAUGGAUUUGUGCCUUCGGGAACUGUGAGACAGGUGCUGCAUGGCUGUCGUCAGCUCGUGUUGUGAAAUGUUGGGUUAAGUCCCGCAACGAGCGCAACCCUUAUCCUUUGUUGCCAGCGGUUAGGCCGGGAACUCAAAGGAGACUGCCAGUGAUAAACUGGAGGAAGGUGGGGAUGACGUCAAGUCAUCAUGGCCCUUACGACCAGGGCUACACACGUGCUACAAUGGCGCAUACAAAGAGAAGCGACCUCGCGAGAGCAAGCGGACCUCAUAAAGUGCGUCGUAGUCCGGAUUGGAGUCUGCAACUCGACUCCAUGAAGUCGGAAUCGCUAGUAAUCGUGGAUCAGAAUGCCACGGUGAAUACGUUCCCGGGCCUUGUACACACCGCCCGUCACACCAUGGGAGUGGGUUGCAAAAGAAGUAGGUAGCUUAACCUUCGGGAGGGCGCUUACCACUUUGUGAUUCAUGACUGGGGUGAAGUCGUAACAAGGUAACCGUAGGGGAACCUGCGGUUGGA